AUGGACGUGCUCAACUCCUCGUCGCCCGACAGCAGCGCCAAGGCCGACAGCAGCGAGAACGGCGACUCCGAGGAGUGGGUCGGCGCGGGCGUCAAGAGGAGCGCCGCCGGGGAGCCGGCGAUGGCCGGGCGGCACGCCCGGAGCCUGUCCGUGGACAGCCUCAUGGGGAGGUUCAACUUCGCCUCCCCCGGCGGCGCGGGGGGCAUGUUCAGCCUGGAGUUCGGCAGCGGCGAGUUCUCCCCGGCCGAGAUGAAGAAGAUCAUGGCCGACGAGAAGCUGGCCGAGAUGGCCCUCGCCGACCCCAAGCGCGUCAAGAGGGUGCUGGCGAACCGGCAGUCGGCGGCGCGGUCCAAGGAGCGCAAGAUGCGGUACAUCGUGGAGCUGGAGCAGAAGGUGCAGAUCCUGCAGACGGAGGCCACCACGCUCGCCGCGCAGAUCAACCUCCUGCAGCGCGACUCGUCGGCGGUGGCGACGCAGAACAACGAGCUGAGGUUCCGGCUGCAGGCCAUGGAGCAGCAGGCGCAGCUGCGCGAUGCUCUGAACGAGGCGCUGACAGGCGAGGUCCAGCGCCUCAAGAUCGCGACCAUCGAGCUCGGCAUCGGCGACUCCUGCUCCUCCAACGGCAUGGCCCAGCAGCACAACCUCAUGUUUCAGCAGCAGCAGCUGCUGCAGCAGGCUACACCCAUACCAUUCUACCAGCUGCAGCACCAACAGCAGCAGCAGCAGCAGCAGCAGAACGGCACAGCCAGCAAGCAUGAAUCAAGAGAGUGA
RNAcentral lists this ribosomal RNA (771 nucleotides) under Triticum aestivum (bread wheat). RNAcentral's name for it is "partial small subunit ribosomal RNA". The record is from RNAcentral. Lineage: Eukaryota; Viridiplantae; Streptophyta; Magnoliopsida; Poales; Poaceae.